UGAUCCUGGCUCAGGAUGAACGCUAGCUACAGGCUUAACACAUGCAAGUCGAGGGGAAACGACAUCGAAAGCUUGCUUUUGAUGGGCGUCGACCGGCGCACGGGUGAGUAACGCGUAUCCAACCUGCCCAUCACUUGGGGAUAACCUUGCGAAAGUAAGACUAAUACCCAAUGACGUCUCUAGAAGACAUCUGAAAGAGAUUAAAGAUUUAUCGGUGAUGGAUGGGGAUGCGUCUGAUUAGCUUGUUGGCGGGGUAACGGCCCACCAAGGCGACGAUCAGUAGGGGUUCUGAGAGGAAGGUCCCCCACAUUGGAACUGAGACACGGUCCAAACUCCUACGGGAGGCAGCAGUGAGGAAUAUUGGUCAAUGGGCGAGAGCCUGAACCAGCCAAGUAGCGUGCAGGAUGACGGCCCUAUGGGUUGUAAACUGCUUUUAUAAGGGAAUAAAGUGAGUCUCGUGAGGCUUUUUGCAUGUACCUUAUGAAUAAGGACCGGCUAAUUCCGUGCCAGCAGCCGCGGUAAUACGGAAGGUCCGGGCGUUAUCCGGAUUUAUUGGGUUUAAAGGGAGCGUAGGCCGGAGAUUAAGCGUGUUGUGAAAUGUAGACGCUCAACGUCUGCACUGCAGCGCGAACUGGUUUCCUUGAGUACGCACAAAGUGGGCGGAAUUCGUGGUGUAGCGGUGAAAUGCUUAGAUAUCACGAAGAACUCCGAUUGCGAAGGCAGCUCACUGGAGCGCAACUGACGCUGAAGCUCGAAAGUGCGGGUAUCGAACAGGAUUAGAUACCCUGGUAGUCCGCACGGUAAACGAUGGAUGCCCGCUGUUGGUCUGAAUAGGUCAGCGGCCAAGCGAAAGCAUUAAGCAUCCCACCUGGGGAGUACGCCGGCAACGGUGAAACUCAAAGGAAUUGACGGAA
This 914-nucleotide ribosomal RNA is filed under the name uncultured bacterium. RNAcentral's name for it is "bacterial SSU rRNA". It matches the Rfam family "Bacterial small subunit ribosomal RNA", at positions 14 to 918 of the family's 1533-position model. The record is from RNAcentral.